UUUCAGAGCGAAGGACACCAAGAGACCUUCUCUUUUCAGCGUGUGAUGUCUGACACUCAGAGCCCGACUGUCUACAGUAACACGACACUGUAGCAGGCCGCAGCAGAGGGACGACGUUGGUUGGUGGAGAUAAACAUCAAUCAAACUGGACGCCCCCCAGGGCGAUACCACCCCCGACUCAACAAUAGGGUGUCUUCAUGCUCCCCCGACCCACGUAAACCCCCGCUAAGCCAUCCAGCCCCCCCCCCCCCCC
This is a long non-coding RNA of Esox lucius (northern pike), 253 nucleotides long. The record is from Ensembl. Lineage: Eukaryota; Metazoa; Chordata; Actinopteri; Esociformes; Esocidae.